AAGUCGUAACAAGGUUUCCGUAGGUGAACCUGCGGAAGGAUCAUUAAGGGGAUGGAGAGAGAGUGUUGUGCUAUGUUGUACCGUUGUCCAAUUGGACAUCCUUUUAUCCAAUCAAUCUAUUCCAUGUGAACAUGCGAACCAAUAAAACUGCCAGCAACGAAUCACUUGGUUCUC
RNAcentral lists this unclassified non-coding RNA (174 nucleotides) under fungal sp. RNAcentral describes it as "partial internal transcribed spacer region". The stretch from base 1 to 46 matches the Rfam family "Eukaryotic small subunit ribosomal RNA", at positions 1786 to 1831 of the family's 1831-position model. Lineage: Eukaryota; Fungi. The record is from RNAcentral.